Molecule: non-coding RNA, 171 nt
Organism: Triticum aestivum (bread wheat)
Lineage: Eukaryota; Viridiplantae; Streptophyta; Magnoliopsida; Poales; Poaceae
Source: Rfam
GCUAGGAAGAGGAAGAAAGAGAGGGCCUAAGAGAAAUGGGAAUGAGAACAUUAAGGAAAGCGUAACUUAUUGGUCCUUCACCUCUUGUGUUGAGGUGGAAAUCCAGUUUGGUAUUUCCUGAUGCCUCUCAUCCCUAUUGUUCUUAAGCGCUCCUUCCUCUUCCUUUUUGCU